RNAcentral lists this ribosomal RNA (502 nucleotides) under Lamellaria latens sensu lato GF-2022. Its description in RNAcentral is "partial large subunit ribosomal RNA". It matches the Rfam family "Bacterial large subunit ribosomal RNA", at positions 1851 to 2619 of the family's 2925-position model. The record is from RNAcentral. Lineage: Eukaryota; Metazoa; Mollusca; Gastropoda; Littorinimorpha; Velutinidae.
AGUCUGGCCUGCCCGGUGAAUAUUUUUAACGGCCGCGGUACUCUGACCGUGCGAAGGUAGCAUAAUCAUUUGUCUUAUAAUUGAAGUCUAGAAUGAAUGGCUUGACAAGAGUAAUGCUGUCUUUUAUCUUUCUUUAAAACUUUAUUACUAAGUUAAAAAGCUUAGAUACAAUUAAAAGACGAGAAGACCCUAUCGAGCUUUAGGAAACUAUAAAAAUUCUUAACAUUAAUGGAAACAGAACAUACUAUAAAACUUUGGUUGGGGCGACCCGAGAACAAGAAAAGCUUCUCGCUAUAAAAUCUAUUGAUAAAUCAAAGAUCCGCCUUUGGCGAUAAAAAGAAUUAGUUACCGUAGGGAUAACAGCAUUAUCUUUUUUGAGAGUUCUAAUCGAAAAAAAGGUUUGUGACCUCGAUGUUGGACCAGCAUAUCCUAAAGAUGCAGAAGUCUUUAAAGGUUGGUCUGUUCGACCAUUAAAAUGCUACGUGAUCUGAGUUUAGACCGG